RNAcentral lists this ribosomal RNA (415 nucleotides) under uncultured microorganism. RNAcentral describes it as "bacterial SSU rRNA". It matches the Rfam family "Archaeal small subunit ribosomal RNA", at positions 330 to 744 of the family's 1478-position model. The record is from RNAcentral.
GCGCACCAGUCGCGAAUACUUCGCAAUGCGCGAAAGCGCGACGAGGGGAUUCCAAGUGCAUGCACUAAGUGUAUGCUUUUCGUGAGUUUAAAACGCUCACGGAAUAAGGGCUGGGUAAGACUGGUGCCAGCCGCCGCGGUAAUACCAGCGGCCCUAGUGGUGAUCGUUAUUAUUGGGCCUAAAAGCGUCCGUAGCCGGUCCGGUAAAUCUCUGGGUAAAUCGUUGGGCUUAACUCAGCGAAUUCUGGGGAGACUGCUGGACUUGGGACCGGGAGAGGUCGGAGGUACUCCAGGGGUAGGGGUGAAAAUCCUGUAAUCCUUGGGGGACCACCGGUGGCGAAGGCGUCCGACCAGAACGGGUCCGACGGUAAGGGACGAAGCCCUGGGGCGCGAACCGGGAUUAGAUACCCGUGUAG